Molecule: long non-coding RNA, 930 nt
Filed under: Homo sapiens (human)
Lineage: Eukaryota; Metazoa; Chordata; Mammalia; Primates; Hominidae
Description: novel transcript, antisense to HTR2C
Source: RNAcentral
CUGACUCUCUUUUCGGACUCAGCCCACUUGCACCCAGGUGAAAUAACAGCCAUGUUGCUCACACGAAGCCUGUUUAGUGGUCUCUUCACACGGACACACAUGAAAUUUGGUGCUGUGACUUGGAUCGGGGUACCUCCCUUGGGAGAUCAAUCCCCUGUCCUCCUGCUCUUUGCUCCGUGAGAAAGAUCCACCUAUGACCUCAUGUCCUCAGACCGACCAGCCCAAGGAACAUCUCACCAAUUUUAAAUCAGGAGCUUGCUACACGUGCCAGAAAUCUGACCACCAGGCCAAGGAAUGCCCGCAGCCCAGGAUUCCUCCUAAGCCGUGUCCCAUCUGUGUGGGACCCCACUGAAAAUCGGACUGUUUAACUCACCUGGCAGCCAUUCCCAGAGCCCCUGGAACUCUGGCCCAAGGCUCUCUGACUGACUCCUUCCCAGAUCUUCUCGGAUUAGCGGCUGAAGACUGACACUGCCCGAUCGCCUCGGAAGCCCCCUAGACCAUCACAGAUGCCGAGCUUCGGGUAACUCUCACAGUGGAAGCAUCUGAAGUUCUCUGGAACUAAAUAUCCAUGACAUGAAGAGAGGGGAAAGUACUGGAAAUAGAAUGAAAUUUUAGGGCCGAGCAUGGUGGUUCGUGCUUGCAAUCCCAGCACUUUGGGAGGCAGAGGCGGGAUGAUUGAGACCAGGAGUGCGAGACCAGCCUGGGCAACAUAACAAGACCCUCAUUUCUACAAAACAACAACAACAACAACAACAACCUGGGCACGGUGACACACACCUACAGUUCCAGCUACUCGAGAGGCUGAGGUGAGAGAAUCGCUUGAGCCCAGGAGUUCGGGGUUGCAGUGAGCUAUGAUCGCAUGACUGCACUCCAGCCUGAGUGACAGAGUGAGACCCUGUCUCAAAAAAAUAAAAAGAAUGGAAUUCUGAA